RNAcentral lists this ribosomal RNA (427 nucleotides) under uncultured bacterium. RNAcentral describes it as "bacterial SSU rRNA". It matches the Rfam family "Bacterial small subunit ribosomal RNA", at positions 33 to 507 of the family's 1533-position model. The record is from RNAcentral.
ACGCUGGCGGCAUGCCUAACACAUGCAAGUCGAACGAACCCUUCGGGGUGAGUGGCGCACGGGUGCGUAACGCGUGGGAACCUGCCCUUAGGUUCGGAAUAACGUUUCGAAAGGAACGCUAAUACCGGAUAAUGUCUUCGGACCAAAGAUUUAUCGCCUUUGGAUGGGCCCGCGUUGGAUUAGCUAGUUGGUGGGUAAAGGCUCACCAAGGCGACGAUCCAUAGCUGGUCUUAGAGGAUGAUCAGCCACACUGGGACUGAGACACGGCCCAGACUCCUACGGGAGGCAGCAGUGGGGAAUAUUGGACAAUGGGCGAAAGCCUGAUCCAGCAAUGCCGCGUGAGUGAUGAAGGCCUUAGGGUUGUAAAGCUCUUUUACCAGGGAUGAUAAUGACAGUACCUGGAGAAUAAGCUCCGGCUAACUCCGUG